This 465-nucleotide ribosomal RNA is filed under the name Vreelandella stevensii. RNAcentral's name for it is "partial 16S ribosomal RNA". It matches the Rfam family "Bacterial small subunit ribosomal RNA", at positions 338 to 795 of the family's 1533-position model. Lineage: Bacteria; Pseudomonadati; Pseudomonadota; Gammaproteobacteria; Oceanospirillales; Halomonadaceae. The record is from RNAcentral.
CCUACGGGGGGCUGCAGUGGGGAAUAUUGGACAAUGGGGGCAACCCUGAUCCAGCCAUGCCGCGUGUGUGAAGAAGGCCCUCGGGUUGUAAAGCACUUUCAGUGAGGAAGAACGCCUGGUGGUUAAUACCCAUCAGGAAAGACAUCACUCACAGAAGAAGCACCGGCUAACUCCGUGCCAGCAGCCGCGGUAAUACGGAGGGUGCGAGCGUUAAUCGGAAUUACUGGGCGUAAAGCGCGCGUAGGUGGCUUGAUAAGCCGGUUGUGGAAGCCCCGGGCUCAACCUGGGAACGGCAUCCGGAACUGUCAAGCUAGAGUGCAGGAGAGGAAGGUAGAAUUCCCGGUGUAGCGGUGAAAUGCGUAGAGAUCGGGAGGAAUACCAGUGGCGAAGGCGGCCUUCUGGACUGACACUGACACUGAGGUGCGAAAGCGUGGGUAGCAAACAGGAUUAGAUACCCGGGUAGUC